GCCGAACCGUGCGAGCGUUGUUCGGAAUCACUGGGCUUAAAGGGUGCGUAGGCGGGUUGUCCAGUCUGGGGUGAAAUCCCACGGCUCAACCGUGGAAUUGCCUCAGAUACUGACGACCUCGAGGGAGGUAGGGGCGAGCGGAACUGUGGGUGGAGCGGUGAAAUGCGUUGAUAUCCACAGGAACUCCGGUGGCGAAGGCGGCUCGCUGGACCUCUUCUGACGCUGAGGCACGAAAGCUAGGGGAGGAAACGGG
RNAcentral lists this ribosomal RNA (253 nucleotides) under uncultured bacterium. RNAcentral describes it as "partial 16S ribosomal RNA". It matches the Rfam family "Bacterial small subunit ribosomal RNA", at positions 524 to 776 of the family's 1533-position model. The record is from RNAcentral.